This 440-nucleotide ribosomal RNA is filed under the name uncultured bacterium. RNAcentral describes it as "partial 16S ribosomal RNA". It matches the Rfam family "Bacterial small subunit ribosomal RNA", at positions 338 to 795 of the family's 1533-position model. The record is from RNAcentral.
CCUACGGGCGGCAGCAGUGGGGAAUAUUGCACAAUGGGGGGAACCCUGAUGCAGCAACGCCGCGUGGGUGAAGAAGUACUUCGGUAUGUAAAGCCCUGUCAGCAGGGAAGAAAAUGACGGUACCUGACCAAGAAGCCCCGGCUAACUACGUGCCAGCAGCCGCGGUAAUACGUAGGGGGCAAGCGUUAUCCGGAUUUACUGGGUGUAAAGGGAGCGUAGACGGCAAGGCAAGUCUGGAGUGAAAGCCCGUGGCUCAACCACGGGACUGCUUUGGAAACUGUGUUGCUGGAGUGCAGGAGGGGUAAGCGGAAUUCCUAGUGUAGCGGUGAAAUGCGUAGAUAUUAGGAAGAACACCGGUGGCGAAGGCGGCUUACUGGACUGUAACUGACGUUGAGGCUCGAAGGCGUGGGGAGCAAACAGGAUUAGAUACCUCGGUAGUC